AAACCAAUUAAAAUGGAAAGUUUUUCCAAUAGCCAAAAUUUAUUGCAAAGGAUCUGAAUUUAGCAAUAUCUAAAUUGUAAUACAUUACAAAGAAGCUACACGAAUUUCAACUACGGCCACCGUGAUACUUAAAUAUUCGACAUCCGAGGUGAAACAUAUUUAAAUUAGCACCUUCUCUUCUUCCGUACAUCCGACGAUACACCCUACGUGGAUAGUACAAAUGUCCGACCAUCAACCAGAUUAAGGGAGGAUGUCGUAUUUGUAAUUGAACCAUCACAAAUCCUCCGGAUGGUAUUUAAGUCAAUUUGGCGAGAAAGGAACCUAAUCAUCAGGUGGGUGGAAACAAUAUGUCGCCGUUGCUAAGCUAUUACGAUAGCAGCCAUCCUCUUUAAUACGGGAUUUUAAUAAACGAGCACAUUGGACUUUGAAAACAGAAGAUCGUUUUAAGAAGCAAAUUGAUAAAUUUAAGCAGCCAUUGCUCGUAGAUUAAAUAUCCUUCAAUAUUCUGAUGUUGAUGUACUGCACUACGAUCUUGAUAUAGAGUCCGGCCUUUACACUGUCUACGUAGGACAUAUUAUCGAAUGGGGAUUGACGAAAGGACAAAUUUAAAUAUAUUCCGCAUCAGAAGUCGAAUAUUUGAUCAUCACGACAAGCGUACUUGAAAUUGCGUUUAUCUUCUUUGAGUGUAUUACAGUUUAGAUAUUAUAA
Long non-coding RNA from Vespula pensylvanica (western yellowjacket), 708 nucleotides. RefSeq lists it as uncharacterized. The transcript has 4 exons. NCBI's taxonomy places the organism in Eukaryota, Metazoa, Arthropoda, Insecta, Hymenoptera, Vespidae. The record is from RefSeq and is a predicted model, not a curated record.